Molecule: transfer RNA, 98 nt
Filed under: Deltaproteobacteria bacterium
Lineage: Bacteria; Pseudomonadati; Myxococcota; Myxococcia
Description: tRNA-Cys
Source: RNAcentral
GACGGGACUGGAGCUGGGCUCCCGCCGGGCUGCAACCCCGGUAGCGCACGAUCGCGAAAGCGAGAGCAGGCGGGUUCGAUUCCCGUGUCCCGUCUCCA